GACGAACGCUGGCGGCGUGCCUAACACAUGCAAGUCGAACGGGGUUGUUCCUUCGGGGACAACUUAGUGGCGAACGGGUGAGUAACGCGUGAGGAACCUGCCUCUCAGUGGGGGACAACAGUUGGAAACGACUGCUAAUACCGCAUAACGUAUUCGAAGGGCAUCCUUUGGAUACCAAAGAUUUAUUGCUGAGAGAUGGCCUCGCGUCUGAUUAGCUAGUUGGUGGGGUAACGGCCUACCAAGGCGACGAUCAGUAGCCGGACUGAGAGGUUGAACGGCCACAUUGGGACUGAGAUACGGCCCAGACUCCUACGGGAGGCAGCAGUGGGGAAUAUUGGGCAAUGGGGGAAACCCUGACCCAGCAACGCCGCGUGAAGGAAGAA
This 383-nucleotide ribosomal RNA is filed under the name uncultured bacterium. RNAcentral's name for it is "bacterial SSU rRNA". It matches the Rfam family "Bacterial small subunit ribosomal RNA", at positions 28 to 412 of the family's 1533-position model. The record is from RNAcentral.